ACGGAGGGUGCAAGCGUUAAUCGGAAUUACUGGGCGUAAAGCGUGCGUAGGCGGUUCGUUAAGUCAGAUGUGAAAGCCCUGGGCUCAACCUGGGAACUGCAUUUGAAACUGGCGGACUAGAGUUUAGUAGAGGGGAGUGGAAUUUCAGGUGUAGCGGUGAAAUGCGUAGAUAUCUGAAGGAACACCAGUGGCGAAGGCGACUCCCUGGACUAGAACUGACGCUGAGGUACGAAAGCGUGGGUAGCAAACAGGAUUAGAUACCCUGGUAGUCCACGCCGUAAACGAUGUCGACUAGCCGUUGGUCCUAUUUACAGGAUUAGUGGCGCAGCUAACGCAUUAAGUCGACCGCCUGGGGAGUACGGCCGCAAGGUUA
Molecule: ribosomal RNA, 373 nt
Filed under: uncultured bacterium
Lineage: Bacteria
Description: bacterial SSU rRNA
Rfam family: Bacterial small subunit ribosomal RNA
Source: RNAcentral